GAGCACACAGAUUUACAGACAGAUACAGAGGAGUCUAUUAUGAAGGUGAAAUGCAGUCAAAUGUGACGGUGUUGCCGGUGAUGCCUGGUGAGGACCUGCCUUACAACAGGCCUACAAGCCUUCAGUCCAGCCUCUCUCAGCCUAUUGCAGACAGUCUGAGCACUGAUGGAGGGAUUGUGCGUUCCUGCUGUAGCCCGGGAAGUUGUUGUUGCCAUCCUCUACCUGUCCAGCAGAGCCCCAUGGUCAACUUGCUCUUCUCAACCCCUUGGGUUGUGCCGUGGCGUAGAUCUUUGUGGGCUAUACUCGUCCUUGUCUCAGGAUGGUAAGUUGGUGGUUGAAGAUAUCCCUCUAGUGGUGUGGGGGCUGUGCUUUGGCAAAGUUGUUGGGGUUAUAUCCUUCCUGUUUGGCCCUGUCCGAGGGUGUCAUCGGAUGGGGCCACAGUGUCCCCUGACCCCUCCUGUCUCAGCCUCCAGUAUUUAUGCUGCAGUAGUUUAUGUGUCAGG
Oncorhynchus tshawytscha (Chinook salmon) is the source of this 503-nucleotide long non-coding RNA. The record is from Ensembl. Lineage: Eukaryota; Metazoa; Chordata; Actinopteri; Salmoniformes; Salmonidae.